CCUACGGGAGGCAGCAGUGAGGAAUAUUGGUCAAUGGCCGUAAGGCUGAACCAGCCAAGUCGCGUGAAGGAAGAAGGAUCUAUGGUUUGUAAACUUCUUUUAUAGGGGAAUAAAGGUAUCCAAGUGUGGAUAUUUGCAUGUACCCUAUGAAUAAGCAUCGGCUAAAUCCGUGCCAGCAGCCGCGGUAAUACGGAGGAUGCGAGCGUUAUCCUGAUUUAUUGGGUUUAAAGGGUGCGUAGAUUGUUUUUUAAGUCAGCGGUGAAAGGUUGUGGCUCAACCAUACAAUGGCCGUUGAAACUGGAAGACUUUAGUGUGUUUGAGGUAGGCGGAAUGCGUGGUGUAGCGGGGAAAUGCAUAGCUAUCACGCAGAACUCCGAUUGCGAAGGCAGCUUACUAAGCCAUAACUGACACUGAAGCACGAAAGCGUGGGGAUCAAACAGGAUUAGAUACCCCGGUAGUC
This 460-nucleotide ribosomal RNA is filed under the name uncultured bacterium. RNAcentral describes it as "partial 16S ribosomal RNA". It matches the Rfam family "Bacterial small subunit ribosomal RNA", at positions 338 to 795 of the family's 1533-position model. The record is from RNAcentral.